Rattus norvegicus (Norway rat) is the source of this 97-nucleotide small nucleolar RNA. Ensembl annotates it as small nucleolar RNA U13. The record is from Ensembl. NCBI's taxonomy places the organism in Eukaryota, Metazoa, Chordata, Mammalia, Rodentia, Muridae.
AUGGUUUAUAAGAGUGAACAUUGGAGUGCUCAUGCCACAGCGUGACAUGUUGCUCUCACAAAUCUUGUUAGGAUGCUGGCACGUUGACACUGAGAAA